Molecule: ribosomal RNA, 301 nt
Filed under: uncultured bacterium
Lineage: Bacteria
Description: partial 16S ribosomal RNA
Rfam family: Bacterial small subunit ribosomal RNA
Source: RNAcentral
CAGUAGCCGCGGUAAUACAGAGGGUGCGAGCGUUAAUCGGAUUUACUGGGCGUAAAGCGUGCGUAGGCGGCUUCUUAAGUCGGAUGUGAAAUCCCUGAGCUUAACUUAGGAAUUGCAUUCGAUACUGGGAAGCUAGAGUAUGGGAGAGGAUGGUAGAAUUCCAGGUGUAGCGGUGAAAUGCGUAGAGAUCUGGAGGAAUACCGAUGGCGAAGGCAGCCAUCUGGCCUAAUACUGACGCUGAGGUACGAAAGCAUGGGGAGCAAACAGGAUUAGAGACCCCGUAGUCCCUGUCUCUUAUACA